AUUACAUGGCCCAAAAUACAGAUUCUAGAAAGAACAAGAGACUAACACCUAGGAUCUAGUAGAACAUAUGACUCUAUGGAUCAGAAUCAGAUGUAUCAGAGAUGGGAUGGGGAGAUGAUGGAUCACGGCCAAGAGCACGUCCUCUACCCCGUCUGCCUCUGCCACGAGUGGAGGUGCUGGCACGAGCAAGUGGGUGAGAUGAACUUGGAGGCUGAGAACGUUGAGAGGCCAAGGACUGGACUGAAAGAUUGAGCCUGAUGGAAUCAAGAACGUUCAGUGCUCUUGAAGCAGACUGAAGCAGAACAGUGAACUGAGUAGAUGCAUGCUCACUCGAACCUCUGAUCUCUCUCCUCAAUAACUCAUAACCACCCUCCAAUGCACCUCUGAGCCUGCCAGCCUCUGCAGUAAGGUCUGUGACCUCAAUAGUACUCUCCUGUGGCUGAGGAUGGGCCAAAGCUAAGACUUGCCCUUGCAAGUCAAGAACUCUCCCAGUCAGUCUCAAAAUGCAAUCCUCGAGCUACUAAAUCCGAACAGACUGAUCUGAGAUCAACUGAAAAAUAGUGGAGAUAUGGAGAAUCAAGGUCUGAUUAGAUGAAUCUAACGA
Molecule: long non-coding RNA, 604 nt
Filed under: Elaeis guineensis (African oil palm)
Lineage: Eukaryota; Viridiplantae; Streptophyta; Magnoliopsida; Arecales; Arecaceae
Description: long non-coding RNA (EGUI_LNC052153)
Source: RNAcentral